Molecule: ribosomal RNA, 949 nt
Filed under: uncultured Pseudomonas sp.
Lineage: Bacteria; Pseudomonadati; Pseudomonadota; Gammaproteobacteria; Pseudomonadales; Pseudomonadaceae
Description: bacterial SSU rRNA
Rfam family: Bacterial small subunit ribosomal RNA
Source: RNAcentral
AGGGUUUGAUUAUGGCUCAGAUUGAACGCUGGCGGCAGGCCUAACACAUGCAAGUCGAGCGGUAGAGAGGUGCUUGCACCUCUUGAGAGCGGCGGACGGGUGAGUAAUGCCUAGGAAUCUGCCUGGUAGUGGGGGAUAACGCUCGGAAACGGACGCUAAUACCGCAUACGUCCUACGGGAGAAAGCAGGGGACCUUCGGGCCUUGCGCUAUCAGAUGAGCCUAGGUCGGAUUAGCUAGUUGGUGGGGUAAUGGCUCACCAAGGCGACGAUCCGUAACUGGUCUGAGAGGAUGAUCAGUCACACUGGAACUGAGACACGGUCCAGACUCCUACGGGAGGCAGCAGUGGGGAAUAUUGGACAAUGGGCGAAAGCCUGAUCCAGCCAUGCCGCGUGUGUGAAGAAGGUCUUCGGAUUGUAAAGCACUUUAAGUUGGGAGGAAGGGCAUUAACCUAAUACGUUAGUGUUUUGACGUUACCGACAGAAUAAGCACCGGCUAACUCUGUGCCAGCAGCCGCGGUAAUACAGAGGGUGCAAGCGUUAAUCGGAAUUACUGGGCGUAAAGCGCGCGUAGGUGGUUCGUUAAGUUGGAUGUGAAAUCCCCGGGCUCAACCUGGGAACUGCAUUCAAAACUGUCGAGCUAGAGUAUGGUAGAGGGUGGUGGAAUUUCCUGUGUAGCGGUGAAAUGCGUAGAUAUAGGAAGGAACACCAGUGGCGAAGGCGACCACCUGGACUGAUACUGACACUGAGGUGCGAAAGCGUGGGGAGCAAACAGGAUUAGAUACCCUGGUAGUCCACGCCGUAAACGAUGUCAACUAGCCGUUGGGAGCCUUGAGCUCUUAGUGGCGCAGCUAACGCAUUAAGUUGACCGCCCGGGGAGUACGGCCGCAAGGUUAAAACUCAAAUGAAUUGACGGGGGCCCGCACAAGCGGUGGAGCAUGUGGUUUAAUUC